This is a long non-coding RNA of Meriones unguiculatus (Mongolian gerbil), 1672 nucleotides long. RefSeq lists it as uncharacterized. Lineage: Eukaryota; Metazoa; Chordata; Mammalia; Rodentia; Muridae. The transcript is spliced from 3 exons. The record is from RefSeq and is a predicted model, not a curated record.
AACGGACCCCCUCCUCUCUCACUGACAGGGCUGUUUGAAGAUCAGAUGGAUCCCUGAGAGCAGUCUUAGUUAUUGUAAUCGCUUCCUGCUGGGCUUCCACUUCCUGGCCAAGCCAUUAAAGCUAAUAUGAUAGGUCAAUUAAGGGUAACAUGUGAUUGGCUGACCUCUGCUAGCAGCCAGAGUUCAAGGACAACAUUUUAUUCCAGUGUAAGCACUGUCCCCUUCUCGCACCAAUAUGACCUCCCGCCAAAGCCAGCAUGUACAAGCCUCAUCUUCCCAAACGAAGAGCUGUUCAUGCCUCCAGGAGCAGAGCUUUUUACCUGUACCAGAAAAUGCUCUCAGAAGGGAAGUCAGAGCUGAGCAGGUAGGGCUGAGGAUCCAGCCCAGGAAGCCAAGGUGAGUGAAAUGGAAUGAAAAAAUCAGGAAAAGAUGGCACAGGUUGGAAAGAGGAGCUCAGGGAAGGUCAGGAAAGUGGCUCAGACUGGGCACUGAGCAAAGUCUUCCAGACCGUUAAGAAGAUGCAUGUCUGCGGCUCUGCAGCUCAGGGCUGGACCUGAUGGUUCCUCAGUCUGGCCAGUCUAGAUGCUGUAAGCCAGACUGUCAGCACAGAUCUGAAGAGUACCAGGUUGAAAGAAUGCUUCCUUUCUCUGGAAAGCCACAUGGGCGGGCUAAGAAGCAAAGUAGGCUGUGGGGGAACGUUAAGCAGGAAAGUGCAUGAGAAAUGUCACAUUUCGGGACACAGGCAUCCAGUGACAUCAUGCAUGAAGCAGGAAAAGGAAGGAGGAGUGAGCCUAGGAGCCCUAGGAAGGGUACCCAUGCACCUGCCUCCGGAAGACUCAGCCAAGGCCCUGCUGGGAUGGGGAAGACGGGAAGGGCAAUGGACCAGAGGGACCUGGGUGUGGCCACAGCGGGGUGGACACUCAACCUGCGGCUGGGGCCAUGCACGGUUAUCCCUGUGUCUCAGCCAAAGAUCUCUCCCUGCCUAGGAGAGGCGGGGGGGGAGUGUUGGGGUGUCCAGGAGAGGCGGGGGGGUGGAGUGUUGGGGUGUCCAGUACCAGGACACCACAGUUGCUUCUUUCUCUCCCACGUCCUCACACUGGCCGCAGCUGCAUAAACGUGGCAUUAACAUUGGAAGCCAUGCAUGGCCAGUGAUUUCCGCGUGUGUAUCUGGGUCAUGAUUGCAGUUGAAGAGGCUCCCUUAAGCAGCAGUGCUCAUUGUUGGAAGAUUGCGCAUUUGGGAAACAACUCAGAAACCUCACUCUGAGAUGGGCAUAUGAGCAGGCCUCAUAGACAGACGGCCUCAGCUGCCUCCAAUACCCAGGUGGUUCUGGGACCCAGAAAGAUAAAAGGCCUCAGUCUCUUUCCCUCAGUGUGGCUCGAGCUCCACCAAGAAAAAGAAAUUGCUUUUUGGAUCAUUCCACACCAGCAAAUUAAAAGAGGUCUCCAGGAAGCAAGAGGCCCCCAGAGGCAAGGACAGCAGCCUACUGUCUUCUAUGCCUACUUUCCGCCAGGCUCUCUCUGUCCCUGCUGCAGUCCCUGCAGCUCCGGAAGGCAGAAUGGACAAGACUGGCACUUGGUGACACUGUCUGAUCAGCAACUUAAGCAAAACUUAAUUGCUUCCCUGAACCUGAGAAAUAUCAAACGGCAUAAACAAACGAGCUUUAAAUUAUUA